RNAcentral lists this long non-coding RNA (1544 nucleotides) under Serinus canaria (Common canary). RNAcentral's name for it is "lncRNA (ENSSCAG00000009037.1)". Lineage: Eukaryota; Metazoa; Chordata; Aves; Passeriformes; Fringillidae. The record is from RNAcentral.
CCAAUUUGAUUAGUCAGGCCUGAUGCUUACGGAGGGCAGUGUCCAGCCAGACGUGAGGAAGAGGGGCUGAAAAGAAAGGCGUUUCCCAGGGCUGACCUCUCACGGCCGGUCCCCGCAGGAGAGCACAGCCCGAUUUCCUAUAGGAAGUGACACUAACCGACAUCCCCGUCUUCGCUAGGUGCGGGCACCUGGGUACAGGGGUACCCCUCCGUCUCUGCGGUUCCGUCAAACCACUCCCGCAGAGGGACGGGUCCCGGGCGUACCCACCCCGCUGCCGGGAAGACCGAAGUCACCUCGCUCCGUCCCGGCUGAAGCGCUCUCAGGCACUCUCAGACAACGACGGCGGCAGAAAGAGAAGAAAAGAAAAAACCCCACAGUUAUGCCGUCACUCGGAUUCGAGCCGAGAAUCCUGCGACCCCAGCGCAGAGUACUAACUAACGCAGAUCGAAUAGUAAUUCGAUCACGGCCACCCAACGCCCUGCGCCAUCACCGUGCACGUGGGCCCACCCUUACCUCACUCUACCAUCCAUGUUCUCAGUGGUAAGGGGAUGGAUGGUAAACUCGCCGCCGAAAAGUAAAGCGGCGAUGGUGCGGCAAAACGAUACUCAGUAACCUCCCCGCCGAUGAAACGAACCCCGGUCUCCCGUGGGACAGGCGGGGAUACUUACCACUAUACUAACGCAUACCGAUCCCAAUGGUAGGGAAUUAGUCUCCACCUAGAAGACGGGAAACACCUGAGGGAAAAUAGCGGCCACCCGGGGGCCGUCACGGAGCCGUGGGCACUACCGUGCCAGAGCGGGCACGGAAGGAGACCGUACCGAGGCUUUCGUAACUACCUGCGGCCCGCAACCUCCUGCGUUUGCCUUGUUCUGAGCUUGAACACGAGGUUUACGGUGAGACCCGCCUCACGGAGCGAUUUGCAGGGUAUGGCUGACAGGGAAACCCACCCCAUGGCCACCAAAUCCAUCAACCUGUUGUCUGCCAUCGUGAGAAGCGUGGUUUGCUGGGUGGUUUACAUUCAGAACUUUCAGAUAGUCUCCCAAGGGUAGCUAGUUUUUCCUCACUAGAAAGGCAGCAAAGUUGGCACUGUAAUUGGUUUCACUACCAAAAAAAGAAGGGUGGGGGGGGGAAACUAACAAUUUAAAUACAUCAUUUCUUGUACCGUUACACAGUCUUGGGGGGGAUCAGGAACCCGCAGAACGCUGACAUCAGAAGCUGGCGUUUUAAAGACCUAUUUGUAAGCAGUUUCUGCCAUGCACAUGCAUCUUUUUGCUCCACCUGUCGCCAAAAGCAUCGGGAUAAAUCAAACACUAUGUUUUAGUAUUAGAAAGUAGGCAUUGCUUUAUUUGCAGUGCUGGCACGCAUGUAUAUAACUCUGACUAGAUGCAGGGCCACUUUCAAAACUUUUCACUUAUUUAUGCAUUUUUAUCAAACGAAGAAAUUAAUGUCCACUGGUUAUAAAUGAUAUCAUUAUUUUCAUUAAAUAGUAUUCUAUGUUCUAUUGGUUAUUGAUUUCUCAUUGUGCACUUUUUCAGUCUUUUUAC